GGGCUCGGGGCUGUAGCCGAGGGUUCCGCCGGCGCCCGCCCGCCCUCUCGGUAGACCCUCGCCCGCGCGUCCCGGCGCGCCGCCACAGACCUGCGGCCUCAGCCGUCCUCACGCGCGGCUCCGGGAGGGGAAGGAGGCCGACGGGGCUAGGCGGGAACGGGGCCGCGCCACGGGCCGCAGCGCGCCGCGGGUACAAGGAGGGCAGAACCGCCGCGGAGCUUUGUGGAAAUGAGGGGCUGGGGGGCGUCAACAGCCCCGGGGAGGGGGCGCGCCGGAGAGGCCGGGCGGCUGCCCCCGCGCCCAUAGGCCCCGGGAGCUGUUCGUCAACACUAGGCCCCGCCUCCUCCCGCGGUUCCCCGCCUCGUCUCGUGCUGCGCUGGCCGGAAGGAAGCGGCACACUUCCGCUUGCCUGGUCCGCAUUGAGUCCGGUCUGUUCCGGAGACUCUGAGCGCGGCCGCGGAGCUGCAGUGGCGGGGAGUGGGGUGCGGAUCUUGUGUUUGCGCACGCAGUCGCCGGCCACCUCAGGCCGGAGCUAGAGAUACGGCUCGGGAUAGGAGGGCCCGGCGGCUCUGAGGCAGGUUCGCCUCGAGCCGCACGGCCCGGAGCAGCGGCUCCGCGGUGGUCCCCGGGGCUUGAGAGGGGUGCGGGCCUGGGAGCCCCUGAGGGCCUGAUUUACGGAACUCCCCCUCCUUCCUCCUUUCUGCCGUUCCCUGCUCUGUGGCGGAUGCGCAGGGAUCAGUAGGGACGGCAGCAGUAGGGCCACUCGGGCCUGCCCCGCUUCCCGCAUUGCCCGGUUUGGCGCGCCGCCUCCGGGCCUUGGCAAAGCCCCAGCGCCCGAUUGUCACUGACCAGUGCUUGGAAGUCCUUUACCGACUGCCCGUCAGCGUCCCGCGGAGAGGAUUUUGCGUCUCCAAAGACGCCCCUCUUCCGAAAACAGGCUCCUCUGUGUUCUCAGUCGGGUAUAUUUUUCUGUCUCCAAACUAGAUUGGCAGCCGUUUUUUGAGAGCAGGUACUGACUGUGCUUUAUUUCUAGAUACUUUUCUUAGUCACACCACGGAAAACACUAGGUGGAACCUUUUUUAAAAUUAUUUUUUACAGGUGAGGCUCUCAGUCUGUCGCCCAGGCUGGAGUGCAGUGGUGCUAUCACGGCUCACUGCAACCUCGGCCUCCUGGGCGCAAGCGAUCCUCCCGCCUCAGCCUCCGGAGUAGCUGGGACCACAGGCUCGCACUACUAUGCCCAGCUAAUUUUUAAAUUUUUCGUAGAGAUGGGGGUCUUGCUUUGUCGUCCAGGCUGGAGUGCAGUGGUGUGAUCGUAGCUCACUGCAACCUUAGUCCCCUGUGCCCAAGUGACCCUGCUUCCUCAGCCUCCUGAGUAGCUGAGAUUCAUUUUAAUUUUUAUAGUGAUGGGGUCUCGUUGUGUUGACCAGUCUGGUCUAAAACUCCUGAGUUCAAGCAGGCCUCCUGCCUCAGCUUCUCAAAAUGUUGGGAUUACAGGCUUUAGCCACUGCAGCGGGCCCAUCAAACGUUGUAUUUGUCAGUACAUAAUUUACAUGUUAAUUGAUUUUUGUUAAAGGGAUGGCCAUCUGGGACCUCCACCCGUGAAAAGGCGGCUCAUUGGUCUGACUCCAACACUAAAUUACGCCAUCCAGGAAGCCUUUCCUAGUCACCUCUGUUGGAGAUCGUCCUCCUUUGUGUGUCGGUUGUUAGUAAAGAGCACACGUUCUGUGGAAAGAUGUUGAGGUAUCUGCUGGAUGGCUUUGAUAGAAACAAAUGUCAGCUGUUUUUUCAGAUGGCAUUUGUCUUGUUUCAGCCUGGUUGUUGGUAGCUUUUCUGUCGCCUGGCUUGAGGGCAAGGACUGUAUGUUUAUUUUUCACGUUAAGAUGCCUUUAUGUGCAUGUGUCUGUUUCAUGAAUACAUAGGUGAAUUGAGUUCCCCUUAAAUAGGAUUUCCCUCUUAUUUUAUAGGUUUUUUUUUUUCUCUCAAGUUGUUUCACUCUGGGGGAAAUGUGACCAUUGUGAAAUAUCAUCGCUUAGUUAAAAAGAAAGUAGAAUUCAGCAGUAGCUGCUUUUUUUAAUACUAUGAAAAGACAUUCCUAAGCAAGAUGAAGCUUUGAGACUUUUCCUAAGUAGGACCUACUGCUGAGAGUAAGUCUUGGGGAGAAUAAGCCAAUUAAGAAUGAGUCUUUGGUUCUGAUAAAGUAACCAUGGAGGUGAUGGAUAAUGAGUGUAGGUCCUUGCUCACACUUCUGGCCAUAUGAGCCCGGAGCCAGGGAGGUACUAUAAAAGGAAUGGGCUCCUGUAAUGGACUGUGACUGCAGUGGUGGUAUAUAGCAAGACUUCCGGUUUGCAGUAGGUUUAGAAGCCUAAAUAGUCUCCCUGGUUGUCUCUGCCAGGGCCACAAAUAGUUGUGCUGUGCAUCUCAAAAGUGUGGUCUGGGGAUCUGCAGCGUCACUGUCACCAUCACUUGGGAGGUUGUUAAGAAAUGCAUGUUAUCAGGCCCUACCCCACGCCUACUCAAUUUAGAAUCUGUAGGGCUAGGGGACCACUAAUCUUUAAGAAGUUGAUAUGGUUAGGCUUUAUGUCCACACCCAAAUCUCAUCUUGAAUUGUAAUUCCCAUAAUCCCCACCUUUCAAGGGAGAGACCAGGUGGAGGUAAUUGAAUUAUGGAGGCAGCUUCCCCCAUGCUGUUCUCAUGAUAGUGAGUUCUCACAAGAUGUGAUGGUUUUAUAAGGGGAUCUUGCCUCUUCGCUCAGCACUUCUUCCUGCCUCCUUGUGAGGAAAGUGCCUUGCUUCCCCCUUUGCCUUCUGCCAUGUUUGUAAGUUUUCUGAGGCUUCCCCAGCCAUGCUGAACUGUGAGUCAAUUAAACUUCUUUCCUUUAUAAAUUACCCAGUCUUGGGCAUUCUUUGUAGCAGUAUCCUUUAUAGCAGUAUGUAUAGCUGUAUGGACUAGUACAGAAGUUUUCCAGAUAAUUCUGUGCUCGGAAAAGUUUGGGAACCACAGCAGAACCUUGUUACUCAACAUGUGGUCUGUGGGCUGUGCAGCAUGGGCAUCACCUGGGGUCUUCUGAGAAAAGCCAGGUCUCAGGUCCUACCCAAGACCUGUGUAGCCAAAAUCUGCAUUUUAAUAUGACCCCCAGGUCAUUUAUGUGUACAUCACACUUUGAGAAGCACUGCACCAGAAAUCUUUUAACACUGUUCAUUACAUCCAUCCCAUGGAAGUAUCUUGUCUUGGGAUCCCGAGGGUGUGAGUUCUUCCGUCUUACUGGCUUUUUCCUGUCUGAUACAUGAUGUCCAUUUUAAAAAUUUUAUUUAUUUUAACUUUUUGAGGUAGAGUCUAACUUUGUCACCCAGGCUGGUGUGCAGUGGGGUGAUUUCGGCUCACUGCAACCUCCGUCUCCCGGAUUGAAACGAUUCUCCUGUCUCAGCCUCCUGAGUAGCUGGCAUCACGUGCUGGCCACCACGCCCGGUUAAUUUUUGUAUGUUUAGUAGAGACAGAGCUUCACCAUGUUGGCCAGGCUGGUCUCAAACUUCUGAUCUCAAGUCAUCCACCUGCCUUGGCCUCCCAAAGUGCUGGGAUUACAGGUGUCCUCCACUGCGCCCAGCCCAGUGUUCAUUUUUCAAUUGUUUGACUUAGUAUAAACACUCUCCAUCAUUCCUGCCUUCUGUGACAACAGACUGUGCGUGUUUCCUCUGUCUACCUUUCAGGCAUUCCUUUUAAGUUUCAUGCAGCUACUCCUCCUCCCUCCUCCCUUCUCUUUCUCUUCUUUCUUCUUUUCUUCUUUCUUCCUCUUCCUUCUUCUUCCUCUUCCUCCUGUUCUUCCUCCUCCUCCUCUCUUCUUUCUUCUUCUCCUCCCUUCUCCCUUUUUGGAAAGAGGACUUACUGUGUCAUCCAGCCUAGAGUGCAGUGGCUGAAUCAUGGCUCAGUGCAGCCUUGCUCUCAAAGGCUCAAGCAAUCCUCCCAUCUCAUCUUCCAGAAUAGCUAGGUUACAGGCAUGCACCACCAUGCCUGACUAAUUUUUUAAAAAUUUUUUUGUAAAGAUUGGGGGUGGCAGGGGGUCUCUCUGUUGCCCAGGCUGGUCUCAAACUCCUGGGCUGCAGCGAUCCUCUUGCCUCAGCCUUCCAAAUUGUUGGGAUUACAGGCAUGAGCCACCAUGCCUGGCCUCCUCUUCCUCUUAAAAAUCAAUGAUUCUGUGGCCCGUGGAUCUGAUUUCCACUGAUACUCUGAUAACUCCUGUUUUUAUGUCCAGGUGUAUCUCCUGGUCUCCAGGUGCCAUAUGUCCACUGCCUAUUGGACAUUUCCAUGUGUGUAAACACCUCAAACUCAACAUGUUAAACCUUUUUCUAAUCCCCACACUUGCGGUUCCUUCUGUGUGCUCCAUUUACCUUAUUGCUCAAAUCAAGAGCCUAGAAGCCAUCCUUGAUUCCUCUCUAUUGUGUAAUCCACACAUCCAAUCAUCCAUUGAGUCCUGUUGGCAUUUAUCUCGUAAAUACCUCAGAUCUUGUUCACUUUGCUCAUCUCUGUUGCCACCACCGUAGUCCAUUUACCUGUAUGUAAUAACCAUAGUGAUCUUACUAAAAUAUAAAUCCCUUGGAGGCGUUUUGGCUUUAUUAUAAAAAUUAAGCUCCAUGACACAGCUUGUAAGGACUGCCACGAAUCAGGCUCUGUUUCCCUCUUCAACCUCUCCUUCACUUUCUAUUCACAUAAACCUCUGUCAGAGGUUUGUCACGUGGCUUAUAAAAAGUCUUAAACCCUCUUUAAUUGACUAGGUACUCUUCAGCCUUUAGACCUCAGCUUACACGAUCUGUGCUGCCUCAUGUUUAUCCUCAUACAGUAUCCGGUUCCACAGAAUCAUGGUUUUUCUUUGUGAACAACAGAAUACCGUGGAAGUGACAGUGUGGGACUUCUGAGGCUAAGUCAUAAAAGACAUCCCAGUUUCAGCCUUAGCCUCUCUUGGAUUGCUCACUUAGCGGGGAUGCCAGCCACCAUGUAGUGAGGACACUCAAACUGCCUGUAGAGAAGGCCACGUAGGCAACAGCCUGCACCACCUUGGCAGCCAUGGGAGUGAGCCAUCUUGGAAGUAUUAGGUUGGUGGGACAUUAAAAGUAAUGGCAAAAACCAAGAUUACUUUUGCACCAACCUAAUAGAUCGGCCAGCUACAGGUCAGCCUUCAGAUGGCGGCAUAAGAGAUCUUGGGCCAGAAGUGCCCAUCUAUGCCACUCCCAAGUAUUUGACACACAGAGACUAUGAGGAUAAUAAAUGUACAUUGUUUUUUUAAGCCACUAAGUUUUGGGGGUAAUUUUGUACAAUGAUAGAUAACCAAUACAAUAUCCACCGUAUGUAUGUGUUACGAUUUAUUUAUUCCCAUCUAGUUGGACAUCUAGGUUGUUUCUAGUUUUAUGCUAUUUCAGGGAAUGCUGUAAGAACAUACUUAUAUUUAUGUAACUCUUUAGGAUGUAUUUCUGGAAACAGGGUUGUUGGAAUUCAUAUUCUUUUUUUUUUUUUUGAGACAGAGUCUCACUCUGUCGCCCAAGCUAGAGUGCAGUGGCGCAAUCUUGUCUCACUGCAACCUCUGCCUCCCAGGUUCAAGCGAUUCUCCUGCCUCAGCCUCCUGAGAAGCUUGGAUUACAGGCACCCGCCAUCAUGCCGGGCUAAUUUUUGUCUUUUUAGUAGAGAUGGGAUUUCACCAUGUUGGCUAGGCUGGUCUUGAACUCCUGACCUCAAGUGAUCCACCCGCCUCGGCCUCCCAAAGUGCUGGGAUUACAGUUGUGAGCCACCAUGCCCAGCCCUAGAACUCAUAUUCUAAAUUGUGAUAAACAUUGGUAAACUACAUUCCAAAAAGGUUAAAGAUUCUAUUGUUUUUCUCUUCCACCAGUGGGUAUUAUGACACUUAUUUCUCCAUGCCAUUGCCAACAAUUAGUUUUUAAAUCUUUGCCAAUCUUAGGUGACAAAUAAUACAUGAUUAGUGUGCAUUCUUUAUUAAUGAGGUGAAGACAAUAUAUCAGGAGUUUAUUGGCUAUUUGCAUUUCUUUUGUAUAAUUUGUCUUUUUGUGUUCUUUCACCAUCUAUUUAAUCUUGCUGUGACGGGAUUAUUUAUAGAUUAUGAGUUUUUUUUGUUUUUGUUUUCGAGACAGGGUCUUGCUCUGUUGCCCAGACUGGAGUGCAGUGGCGCCAUCUCAGCUGACUGCAGAUUCAACCUUCUGAGCUCACGAAAUCCUCCCAUCUCAACCUCCUGAGUAGCUGGGACCACAGGUGUGUGCCUGGCUAAUUUAAAACAAUUUUUUGUAGAGAUGGGGUUUUGCCAUGUUGCCCAGGCUAGUCUUGAACCCCUGAGCUCAAGGAAUCUGCCCACCUCGGCCUCCCAAAGUGCUGGGAUUACAGGUGUGAGCCACUGCGCCUGGCCGAUUAUGGGUAUUUAUUAAUCUGUUGUCAUAUAUGCUGCAGAUAGUUUCUCAUUAUUGUGUAUCUGGUAUGAUGUCUUUUGCUAUGCAGGGAUUUUCCAUUUUUAUAUUGUCAAAUUUCUUUUAUACCUUCUGGGUUUUUCCAUCAUGCUUAGAAAAACCUUCCCCAUCUCAAGAUUGUAAAUGUUUUUUAAUUCUUUCUGCUAGUAUUUAAAAAUAUUAUAACUUUUUAAUAUGGUGUGGGAGAGACUUGACAAUUUUUUUUUAAAUUAGAUAGUUGAUUAUUUCACCAUCAUCCUUACUCUACUGAUUUAAAUUACCUGUACCACAUACUGAAUUCCCAUAUGUAUAUGGCUUAUUUAUAAGCUCACUCUUUUUUUUUUUUUUUUUUUCUGGAGACAGGGUCUUGCCCUGUGGCCCAGGCUGGAGUGCAGUGGCAUGAUCUCGGCUCACUGCAACUUCCACUUCCUGAGCUCAAGCAGUUCUCCCACCUCCGCCUCCCAAGUAGCUGGGACUAUAGGUGGGACUAUAGCCACCACGCCUGGCUAAUUUUUGUAUUAUAAGAUGACACUUAUGUUUAAAUGAUUUUAAAAAGUAAUUAGUCUUGAAACAGUUCUACAUGUUUUUAAUUAUUUUAUAGAAUGUUUUCAUAUUGAGAGGGCAAUUGACCCUUCAUUACACUUCUUUUAACCACAUAUUUUGGCAAUUUCUGCAUAUUUAUUUGCUCAGAUAAACUUUAUAAUCAUUUACUAAGUUCUAAAACAGAAUCCAUGGAAAUUUUUACUAGAAUUAUAUAAAGUGUUUAGAAAUGUUUGGGAGAAAUGAGAUAUUUACAAUGCUGAGUAUUCCCUUACAGAAACAUGUAUGGGGCAGUUUGGUAUACUACAUAUAUUUUUUUCCAACAGUACUUUCAUCCAAUUUAGUUGACUUUUCAAGUAUCUUGGUAAAAGUCAAUGCAAUGGUCGCCAAACUUCUUUUAUUUAUUUAUUUAUUUAUUUAUUUAUUUAUUUAUUUAUUUAUUGAGACAGGAUUUCACUCUGUUUCCCAAACUGGAGUGCAGUGGCGCGAUCUUGGCUCUCUGCAGCCUUGACCUCCUGGGUUCUAGCGAUUCUCAUGCCUCAGCCUCCUGAGUAGCUGGGACUACAGGCGUGUACCACCACACCUGACUAAUUUUUGUACUUCCAGUAGAGAUGGGGCUUCACCAUGUUGGCCAGGCUGGUCUUGAGCUCCUAGCUUCAAGUGAUCUGCCUGCCUUGGUCUCCCCAAAGUGCUGGGAUUACAGACGUGAGCCAGUGCGCCCAGCCUCCAAACUUUUAUCAGAAAAAAAUUUUGUCUUCUCUUUCUGUAUACAUAUAAACAUUUUUUUUUUUAAAUGAGGCAAGGUCUCACCAUGUUGCCUAGGCUAGUCUUGAACUUUUGAGCUCAAGUGAUCCUCCAGCCUUGGCCUACCAAAAUGUUGGGAUUACAGGCAUGAGGCACCACACCCAGCCCAUAUAAACAUAUUUUUAAGCAAAGUGACUACACGUGGAAAUCCUAGUGUUUUCUGCAUACAUUCCAUUGGAUUGUUUUACACACACUGUGUAUGACUCAUGUCAGAGACCACAGAGGUGGGGCCUGUCUAUGGCAGUCCUCUGAGAUUGGCUUGGCAUGCGUGGGUCUUAGGGAACCCAGGCCAAGUGUCAGGGAUGAGCUUCCUCUAUGCUCGCAUCAUUCCAGAGUCCCACAGUCACUGACAUCACAUUGGAUUCCUCUUUCCCUCCUUUAAAAUGUUUGUCAAUAGAUGGCUUCUCCUCUGUGAGUCUUCAUGUGGCAGGCCAGGUCUCACUAAUGCAGGCCUCCAUGACAACCGUUUCAGUACUGACUGAGUGGCGAAGUUAAAUAUUAAAAGCUGAUAGAGCCAGUGCCCUAUACAAAUGCUGGAAUGUAACAAAAGCCCACCAAGAGUUCUGCCCUGGCCUUUCCUGGGCCUUGAAGCAUGACAAGAUAAUGAGGAAUUUUCCACAGGACCCGUUUGGGAUUAUACAGGUUUUAUUGGGGGUCUGAAGAAACUCCCCAGGCCUCCACAGGCAAGUUUAUUGGGGUCUGAAGGAACUCCCCAAACCAUGAUUUAGCAGGAAACAAGAUAAGGGUAAUCACCCCAGCACCUGGACCCAUUUAGAUUAAAUAAAUUUACUGAGGCUCCAGGGGAAGGUCUUCAGGACUCAGAUCUUAGUUAGAGAUCAGAAAAAGUCGACCACUUAUGUCUGUAGAUGAAUGCACACUUACACACAGACAUAUAGCUUAGAAGGUAUAUAAGCUCUGGAACACUGUGAUUUUGAGUUGGUCUGGGGAUAAUUUCUAGGCCUUCUCCCUGUAUCCAGUUACAGAAAUAAACUCCCUCCUUUCCCAGUUCAUCUGCGUCUCAUUAUUGGGCUGUGAGAAUAAGCAGCCUGACCCUCGAUUUGGUCCGGGAACAUUCAGAAAAAGCAUUAUGAAAUAUUGUUUGUGUUUUUUCUCUUCCUUUGUUCAACUUUAUAUUAACUAGAUUUGUAGUGCUUUAAAAUAGUGAAAUUUUUAGACAGAUUAGCGUAGGUGCACAAAUCCAAGGAUUCUAUAAAAUGUAAAGUUCACAAAGUAUUUACAUAUGGAAUUUUUGUUUCAUUUUCUUUUAAAUUAUUAUUGUUACUAUUUUUGAGACAGAGUUUCUCUCUUGUCAUCCAUUGCACUCUUGUCAUCAGACCGAGUGCAAUGAUGCGAUCUCAGCUCACUGCAACCUCCAUCUCCUGAGUUCAAGUGAUCCACGUACUUUGGCCUCCCAAAUUGUUGAUAUUACAGGUGUGAGCCCCUGCACCCGGUUAAUUUUUAGUAGAGGUGGGGUUUCAGUAUGUCGCCCAGGUUGGUCUCAAACUUCUGGCCUCAAGCAAUCCUCCUGCCUUGGCAUCCCCCAGCGCUGGUAUCACAGGGGUGAGUCACUGUGUCUGGCCUCAUUUUCUUCUUUAACACCUGCUUCUCUGCUUACCUCUACUUGUCUGUACUUUCUUCAUUUCCAUGGUUACCACCUACACUUUUUUCCAUUUCCAUGGUUAGAAUAACUGUUGUGUAUUUUUGAAUGAGGACACGAAUAGGUAAGGUAUUCAGUUAAAGCAGAUGAUGAUGUUUUAUUGCAUAAGCUUUUGCCACAUGUGCUGAUUCUCUAGAUGUUAGUCCGAGAAUCAGUGUCCUUGGCUGGUCCUUCUGGUUUGUUUCCUUGGACUGCUGUAAUGUCAUUUCCUGCAAAACAGGCAUGUACACAUGUGUCCACAAAUCUCAGCAGCAGAUUUUUCCCACUAAUAGAUGCCAAGGCAUAUUGUCAGGCCUGGGACUUUUUUUUUUUUUUUUUUUUCCCUGUUGUAAGCAGGACUUUCAGCCAGAAAAGGAUGUGUUUCUAACACUCUCGAAUUCAGACAUUUUAUCAUGCCUUAAAUUAUGGCUAAUCUAGUGCAGGGCUGGAUUUUCACUAACACUUAUCAAGUGCUCCCCACAAACCUUCCUGAGUCAACUGGUGGACAGAGAUGAGCUAACCCAAAGGACUCCUUAUGCAUAAAGUCCACAGGUUUGAUUGCAACUGUCCAGGUCCAAAAGCUCUGAGAUGGAAACUAUCCCAACAGCUAGAUGGAGUCUAGCUGUACUGAGUUGAUUUUGUUGUACUUUAGUGAUUCUCCACGUGAUAGAGGUAACAAAUCCAGCCUCCUCUCACAGGUUUCUCAUCACAAUCUCUUGACCCUUUUGGAUGUUCAGUCAAGAUACCAGGAAAUGAGGUUUGAAAUAAAUAGCUUUUCCUGUAACUAUCUUCAUUAAACCAGUUCAUUUAAAUACAAGGGUGAAUUCCCUAUGGCAAUAUGACCCCCCAGUGGGAAAAAACUGGUCCCUGGGGGUUGAAAAAAAUUACUAUUUUUAUGUAUAAAGCAUAGAUGUACAGACUUGGCGCUGUGUCUCAUGCCUGUAAUCCAGCAUUUUGGGAGGCCGAGGUGGGCAGAUCACCUGUGGUCAGGAGUUAGAGACCACCCUGGUCAACAUGGCAAAACCCCGUCUCUACUAAAAAUGCAAAAAUUAUCCAGGUGUGGUGGCACGUGCCUGUAGAUGCAGCUACUCAGGAGGCUGAGGCAAGAGAGUUGCUUAAACCUGGAGGCGGAGGUUGUGGUGAGCCAAUGUCACGCCACUGCACUCCAGCCUGGGUGACAGAGCAAGACUCCGUCCCAAAAUAAAGAAAAAAGGAAAAAGCAUAGAUACACUUACAGUACCUAGAAAGAUAAACAAUACAGUACUUCUGUGUCAUGGGUGGGGAAAUUAAUUGGGAAAAAUGCCUUGAAGGGCUUAGGAGGAUGGUAAUGAAAUAAAGGUGGAAACACCGAUGUAGACUAGGGUUUGGUGGUUGGAUCCUUGCAGAAUCCUGGUGGUUUACUUUUCCCUUUAAUGUAUUUCUCUAUAUGUAAAUGGUGGGGCAGACUGGAAAUAAGAGCUGAGGGUUCAGUACUGACCCAAAAGACAGUGGCUGAAAUGAUGUUUAUUUCUGUCAUGUAAGCAGUCUGGUUCCACAAUGUCAGGGACCCAGGGUCCUUCCAACAAAAAUGUCACAGUUGUUUUUUAAAAAAUUUUUCUUUUGUGGCAAAAAAACAUAAAAUUUACCUUCUUAACCUUUUUUUUUUUUUUUUUUGAGACAAGGUCUUGCUCUGUUGCCCAGGCUGUGAUCUCGGCUCACUGAAGCCUCCAUCUCCUGGGUUCAAGCGAUUCUUGUGCCUCAGCCUCCCAAGUGUCUGAGAUUACAGGCGCCCGCCACCACAUCUGGCUAAUUUUUGUAUUUUUAGUAGUGAUGGGGUUUCACCAUGUUGGCCAGGCUGGUCUCAAACUCCUGACCUCAAGUGAUCUGCCCGCCUUGGCCUCCCAAAGUGAUGGGAUUGCCACUGCGCCUGCCUGAUCUUAACUAUUUAUAAAUGUCCAGUUCAGUGGUAUUACAUUCAUAAUGUUGUGCAACCAUCACCAGCAUAUACCUCCAAAACUCUUCAUCUUCUAAGACUGAAACUCUGUGCCCAUUAGACCACCAUACUGUUUCCACAGUGAUUGUACCAUUUUACAUUCUCACCAAUGGUGCACAAGGGUACCAGUGUCUCCACAUCUUUACCAACACUUUAUUAUUUUCUGCUUUUUUAUGUUUUGAUAGUAGUCACCCUAAUGGGUAUGAGGUGGUAUCUCAUUGCAGUUUUGAUUUCCAUUUCCUUAAUGAUUAGUGAUGUUGAGCAUCUUUCCAUGUACUUGUUGGCCAUCUGUAGAUCUUCUUUAGAGAAAUGUCUAGUCAAGUCCUUUGCCCGUUUUUGAAUUGGGUUUUGUUGUUGAGUUUUAGGAGUUCUGUCCUGUGCUUGUUCUCAUAGUCAGUGAUCAUAACAUUUACAUAACAGGUGGCAGAACAGAGAAAGAAGGGGAGGUGGAACUCCCCUUAAUUUUGAGGGCACACCCAGAAGUUUCUUUCAUUUCUUUUGGGGGUAACUUCAGCUGAUGUAUUCUAUUGUUUUAUAAAACAAAACAAUUUUAUAUUUGCAUUACAAUAUGUUUAGAGAAAAGAUAGCCAUCAAAUACAGUGAAUGUUUCAAGGACAACUGGUAUAUUUUCUCAGCCAACUUUGAACUCUGUGAUCCUAGAUUCAUUUAAUCUCUUUUUUAGAAAAAUAUUUUUUAUUUUUAUUUUUAGAGAUAGUAUCUCACUCUGUUGCCCAGGCUGGAGUGCAGUGGUGCAAUUACAGCUCAUUGUAGCCUUGACCUUCUGGGCUCAAGCAAUCUUCCCACCUCAGCCUCCUGAGUAGUUGGGGGUGUUACCUGGAAGGGCAGAGUCCUCAGCUCUUAGUCUUCCUUGGGAGAAGGAAUUUGGCCACGAGGCAGUUUAGCCAAAAAAGAGAGAAUUGAUUGAAGGAAAAUAGAGAGCAGAGAGUUUAUUUAGAGAGACAGAAUACUCUGAAAGAUGAGGCAGAGCCAGCUGUGGAGACAGAAUGAGCCAGCAGCCACCCCGAGAAUUCUGCGGUGGGUUUUAAUGAUGUCAGAUUUUUUUCUGGAAGUUCCCACCUCUGUCUUAAGUCCCUGCCUUUUUUCUUUGUCUAGUUUCCCUGCUUCUGCCUUAAGUCCCUGCCUUUAUCCCUGCCGCAUUCCCUCCCAGGCUCACGGGACCCUCUCUUACUACUAGUUGGUGGGUAUGUGUGGCCGGUGUUGGGUAUGAACUCUACCAAAUGGCUGCAUUGCUCAUUGCCGCCACCCCAGGAGGUUGUAUAGAGGUCAGAUCUAUAUUUAUUGCACCUGGUAUCUCUUAGGAAUUUCUGCUUUGCCCUCUUUCCCUCCUUAUCAGCACACAGCUAGUGACAUUCUGAGAGGUUAACUGAAGAGUGGGUGAUUACUAGGAGUCUUAAGGGGUGCUCCUUUCUGCAUAGGUAUUUACCCUCCUCCUUGCUCACACUGGACUCAUUGCCCACCCCCUCCACCAUUAGAGAUGUUAAUAAUUAGCAAAUUUUGGGUGGUCCUUGGGCAUGAGGCUUCCCAGACCUUCCUUUUCUCAGGGGCUCCCCCUCCUGCUCAUGUCUAGCUGUUUGCCUACUGUAACAGGACUACAGGCGUGUGUCACCACACCCGGCUAAUGUUUGUAUUUUUCUGUAGAGAUGGGGUUUCACCAUGUUGCCCAGGCUGGUCUUGAACUCCUGGCCUCAAGUGAUUCUCCCUCCUUGGCCUCCCAAAGUACUGCGAUUACAGGCAUGAGACACUGUGCCUGGCGUGAUAUCUUCAGAAGUUUCAUGUAUCACUACUCAUAUCCCAUGAACCAUAACUUGGUCACAUGGCUUCAUGUAGCUACAAGGAAGCCUGGGAAAUACAGCCUACCUGGGCAGCUUUGUGCCCAGCUAAAAAUUCUGUGAUCAUAGAAGAAUGGAUGUUGAGGAACAACUGGCAGUACCUGCCAUUACUCAUGUGAAAAGUACAUUCUUUUGAAGGUUAAGGUUGAUGUGUAUGGCGUCAGGCACACCAUUAGUCCCUCCCUUCCUUCCUUCCUUCCUCCCUCCCUCUCUCCCUCCCCCUUUCCCUUCCUUCCUUUCCUUCCUCCCUCCCCUUCCUCCCCUUCCUCCUUCCUUCCCUUUCUUCCUUUUCUUUCUUCUCACUCUUCUUUUCCUUUCUUCCUCCCUCCCUCCCUUUCCCUCUCUUUUUUCUUUUUCUUUUCUUUCUUCUUUCUUUUUCCUUCUUUCUUUCCCUUCCCCUCCCCUCCCCUGCCCUCCCCUCCCCUCGUCUGCCUGCCUGCCUGCCUUCCUUUCUUCCUUCCUUCCUUCCUCUCCCUCCCCCUUCUUUCCUCCCUGCCUCCCUUCCUCCCUCCUUCCUUUCCUUUUUUUUUUUCUCUUUCUCUUUCUUUUCUUUCAUGUUGCUCUAUCAACCAGGGUGGUGUGUAGUGGUGCAAUCACAGUUCACUACAGGCUCAAACGAUCCUCCCACCUCAGCCUCCCGAGUAACUGGGACUACACCAGGCUAAUUUUUUAAUUUUUAUUUUUGUAGAGAUGGGGUUUCACCAUGUUGCCCAGGCUGGUAUGGAACGCCAGGCCUCAAGCGAUCCUCCUGCCUUUGCCUCCCAAAAUGCUGGGAUUACAGUGAGCCACUGUACUUGGCCUGAUGUCUUCUUGAAUUUCAAAAACUCUUACGGUAUUUAAUACAAUGUAUAGGUGCAGCUGACUUGUCUGUUUACAGUAGAUAGGUGUUACUGUUUUAGGGUUUUAAUUAGCGAUCAUGCCCUUUGUAUCUCAUGUCCAUAUGUAUUCUUGUUAGUUUUGUAAGGUAUAACCUAGUUAGGAAUAUGGCUAUGAAGCUCUUGUUCCACUUUAUCUUUUUUGUUGAGACAGAAUCUCACGCACUCUGUUGCCCAGGUUGGAGUGCAGCGGUGCAAUCUCGGCUGACUGCAACCUCUGCCUCCUGAGUUUAAGCAAUUCUCCUGCCUCAGCCUCCCGAGUAGCUGGGAUUACAGGUGCCCACCACCAUGCCUGGCUAAUUUUUGUAUUUUUAGUAGGGAUGGGGUUUCACCAUGUUAGCCAGACUGGUCUGAAACUCCUGACCUAAAAUGAUCCACCCGCCUUGGCCUCCCAAAGUGCUGGGAUUACAGGUGUGAGCCACUGCGCCAUGCCUUGUUCCACUUUAUCUUUCAAGAGUAAGUUUCAUCGUGGAUUAUGGUUAAAGACAAGUGCUGAUUUGGUUUUCCUACCUGAUCACGAGGCCACUCGAUAGAACUAGUAAGCUAUGCCUUGGGCCUGCAGGAUGGCACCUGACUUGAAGAUAGCACCUGACUUGAAGAUGGCACCUGACUAGCAUUUGGACUGGUUUGCAGGCUGAGCACAGGGUUGCUCCAGGUGGGCCCAAAUGCUGAAGAGCCUCAUGUUAGAGUUUUUCACCUCUGCGAUGGAACUGUGGUGGACUCCAGUAUCAUCAUUCCAGGGAGGCAUAGCCGCACCAACUGUGUUCCCAGGUUUCACAUGGAGAAGGGUUUUAGAAAGUGCAGAUAGCCUUGAAACCAUUGGUUUCCUACCACUGUUUAUUUCAGCAUAACUUUUUUUGUGUGGAAUGCUAGCUCUGGAAGAGCAGAAAUAAAUACAGCUUAAGCUUUGAACCAUAUCCUGCUGUACUUUUUCUCAUAAGCUGGAAAUAGAAUUUUCUAACACCGUUUGUGGUUGGAAAUACUGAAUUUAAAUGGGACUGCAGAUAUAAACAAAAAGAACAAGAUGUGGAUUGAUGUGCCUAUUUCAGUAAAACACAGCCACAUUAUUUCUGAAAUAUGGAUACUAAAGAUGACAAGUAGAAAAAAAAUUGGAGAUGUGCACAGUUGUGACAAUAAGCCUUUAAACGUCACUAGUAGGUGCUAAUAAAAGUCCUGAAAAAUGAAUGUUUUAUUUUGUUGAGGGUCUAUUCAGGUCCAGCUUUCCAUUGUGUAUACAUUUAAGAUAACAUACUUUCUCAUUUUAAAACCAUACUUGAUUAUUACUGAUGAAUCCAUGGUAGUAACAUGGGUAAUUAUAAAUAUUCUUUUUUGUUUUUCCUUUUAACAAAGUACAAAGCUGAGAAAUCAGAAAGGUGAACUAGUUGGGUCUGAGCUCAUGGCUAAGGAUUCAUGAUUUUCUGAUUUGUGCAAAAAAAAUUUUUUUUUUGAGAUGGAAUUUCACUCUGUUGCCCAGGCUGGAAUGCAGUAGUGUGAUCUUGGCUCACUGCAACCACUGCUUCCCAGGUUCAAGCAAUCCUCCAGGCUCAGCCUCCCAAGUAGCUGGGACUACAGGCGUGUGCCACCACAACCGGCUAAUUUUUGUAUUUUUAGUAGAGAUGUGAUUUCACCAUGUUGGCCAGGCUGGUCUUGAACUCUUGACCUCAAGUCAUCUGCCCACCUCAGCCUCCCAAAGUGCUGGGAUUACAGGUGUGAGCCACUGCGUCUGGUGACAAUUUUUUUUUUAAAGAUGUUUUAAGAUGUUUUUUCCACAUUUACCUAAUAUGUAGAAUCCUUUUAAAACAAACACCCCAUUGUAGAAGUACCUGUCUUAUAUGCAUUUUUACAAAUUAUUACAGAAUGACACCUUUUCUAUCUGGAUUAAGUAACACAACUGGUGUAAAUCUGGUUUAGUUAGUUAGGGAGCAAAAAGCCACCAACACGUGAUACGAUUUUGUUAUAUGCCAGUAAGAAUUUAUAUUAGAUGCCUGACAUUAAACUUUUUAAUUCAAAAGAAAACCUUCUUACCUACAUAAUCUACUUUGGUAAGGCAAACGCUUUAAACUGAUUACCCAUUAUUGGAAAAAAAAUCAGGAGAUUAAAGAAACCAAAGCUGUCAUAAUCUUAUAAACAGUUCAAAUAAAACUAGAUACAGUAUAUUUAUUAAUGUACCACUAGAAAAAUGAGGUCUAUAGUCCCCUAGCACAGCAUGCAAACUGGAUUGUGCUGUACACAUAGGUCUCUGGAAAUGGUUUCAGCAUUUCAUGCUCCGCUGAUUUGGAUUCUGAGAUACACACCAAAACACACUACCUAAGUCAGUCUAUCGUAUGGCACCAAUUAGUAACUUCUCUAUGAAUUUACAGGGCCAAAAAUGUUCUCAUUUUACAUAUUCACUGAUUGACUUGGAAGAAAUCUAUGUAUAAGAGUAUGGACUUUUUCGUAGCUCUGCCAGUUUAAUCAACAGCUCUAGACCAAAGCCAACUACCACCUCCUCCCUACCUUUGAAGCUGGCUUUGGAGUUGCACAUGCUAUUCAUUAUAAAGAGGUGCAUUUAAGACUCUUUUCUUUAUAUCCUGGAUUAUUCAAUUCAACUGUCACCCCAGCCAAGUGGAUUAGUCACUGGGGUUACGUUGCACCAUGGUUACAUUUGCAGGCCAUGUGCUGUAGUCCCACACCACUGACAGGGUGAAGCCGUGGGGGCCAACAUCAACACCGUAAAGCUGUCAGGAGGCAAGCGAGACUUUUUAUAGCUGCAUUUUGAAUUAGUUUAUUAUUUAAUUAUGCAUUGUUAUUUCAAACUGGCUUUAAAUAUCAGCGAUGGAAUAGGUUAAAGUCAUAAAAUAUGGUUAAAAUCUGUAGACAGGUAGACUAUAAAAAUUACAAAGGAAGAAACUAAUUUAGUUAUAAAGCACUACUAUAAAAAGCUUUCUUUGUAAAAAGCCGUUUUCUUCCUGGUAGCUCUAGAGCACAAAUUAUACCAUUGUUCUAGUUCAGAGGUCUAGUCAGAAGACUUUUUCUAUCAGAUAGGUGGUAAAUUAGGUUUUGUGGGCCAUAGAGUCUCUGUCACAAUUACUCAGUGCUGCUGUUGUACCUUGAAAAUAGCCAUAUAUGAUAUGUACACACACAAAAGCAUGGCUGUGUGCCAAUAAAACUUUAUUUGCCAAAACAGGUGGCAGGUUGGCUUUGAAGAGAGGGCCCUAGUUUGCUAAUCUCUCUUCUGUACCAGCGCUGUCCAAAAGAAAUAUAAUGUAAGCCACAUAUGUAAUUUAAAACUGUUUAGUAGCUAAAGAAACAGGUAAAACUAAUUUUAAUAUUUUAUUUAAACCAAAAUAUCAUUUCAACAUGUAAUCAAUAUAAAAAACUGUUAAUACAUUUCCAUUCUUUUUGUACUAAGUCUUUGCAACUGCUAUGUAUUUUACACUUAGAUAUUAUAGUGGCUGCCACACUGGACCAUACGUUCUAGAGCUUCCAUGCUCGGAUUCUUUAAUUUGGAGGUUAGUGACACAGUUUCAGAUUGGGUUUUUCAAAGACAGGGGAUAUGAUUAUGUUGUCCCUGGGAAGCAUGGGACGAAAUAUUUGGCCUUGGUCACUUUCAACUGAGGUGACCCAGGAUUCUAGGGCACAAAUGGAUAACCAGACCCACGAUACAGUCAGAUGAUGUUAGCUUCGUCAAUGCAACAAAUAUGUCAAUAGCUGUCUGUAUAGACGACAGAGUGAUCAAGGUGUGAACAUAUCACUGUAGUUUUUGGCCUUCACUAAGGAAUGCUAAUUCCUUCGUCAAUAGCAGAACUAGUCUUUAGCACUUUGACUAUAUCAGAAUUGAAAGCAUAUAAGCGUGUCACAUUUGGAAGAGAAACUGAACUGGGUAGCAAGGAAAAAAGCUUCAAAAUUAGACUUAAUUUUUAAAAUGAUUUAAAAAGCUAAAUGCUUAUUCAGUUUAUCUUCGUGUAACAGUCUAAUGCUAGUCAGCAACAGAUUAACAAGUUAUCAAGAGUCAUCAUAACCUUCAUUUAACUCUUGGGAAGCUUUUAAUUAUUUACAACUUUCUAAGCAAUAAAGUCAUCAUUUCCAGGAAAAGAAUGAACACAACCUGUGGUUAAUAGAACUUGGAGCCAAGUUUUUUUUAACAAAAAAUUUAUUACCAAAAUACAAUAUUAAAGUCAAUACAUGACAAACUCCUGUAAAGCAAAAUAAAUUAUUCUAACAUUGUACAGUAUUUCCAAAGGUAGUUAAAGAAGCACUACAGACCUUGCCUCACUGUUCUGAACAGAUGAACUGCUCUCCCAUGAACACAGUCCUAGAGUUUCCGCUUUAAGGCAUGCAGCUUGAUGUGCAGGAUAAUUUUACAAAAUGCAAAUCAUCCUAUUUUAAUAAGAUACAGUGUCAGAAUUAACUGUAGUCUUUACAUGUCAGUAUUCCAGAAAUUUUUAUACUUUGGCUAUAGAAGCAAUGCCAUAGUGUUACACAAUACUUAUUUCUUAAAAAAAUACAUGUAUUCAUGUUCAUGAAUAUCAAACGCAAAUUUCUAUUAAAUAUAUUUUAUCGAAUAUUACUUAGAGCACCUUGCUGUACAAUUUAAAAAGAUUAAAUAAGUGUCUAUGAAAACUAAAAACACAAUAAGUCUCAACAGAGAAGCCUGCUUGUCUUUGUCAAGCCAAUUACAGCACGGGAAGGUGCAAUGUAAACAUGGAUGCCCACCAUUUACUUUGUGAGAAAAAAAACAGAAAAUUAUGAAGCCACCAGCAGCCACCUUCAAUAGGAAGAAAGAUCCAGAACAAAGGCUUCGGUCGGUGUCACAACAUUGCACUAUCUGGCCAAAGAACUUGGACUACCGAUCAAAUGGAAUAUUAGCAUGAUACUGUUGAACACUGGGACACCCGCCAUAUUCUGGAUGAUUAGAGAAAGGGAGAAAAUGAUAGAGCCCUGAAAAGUAUUCUUUAUAAUGAUCAGAAUGCAUCAUCUUCCCCCCUCCCCACCUUUGCCAUAUGUAGUUUCUUUUCAAAGCUAUUUUCACUAUCACGUCUUAGUAUUUUUUAAGUGUUCGGAGCAGAAAACAAAUACUAUGAGCUCUGUCUAAUAAGAAGUCAAUACCAAUAAAUAACAUGUUAUUCUAUGAAGGAAUUCCUACUGAAUUUUUUUUUUGGGGGGGGAGGUAAACAGAGGACCUCAUCUGUCACCCCGGUUGGAGUGCAAUGGUGCCAUCACGGCUCACUGCAAGCCUCUAUCUCCCAGGCUCAAGUGAUCCUCCCACCUUAACCUCCCAAGUAGCUGGUGCUACAGGCACGUGCCAACUAUGCCUGGCUAAUUUUUAAUUUCUUGUAGAGACAGGGUCUCCCCGUGUUGCCCAGGCUGGUCUUAAACUUCUGGACUCAAGCAGUCCUCCAGCCUUGGCCUUCUAAAGUAUUGGGAUUACAGGUGUGAGCCACUAUGCCCAGGCUACUGAUUAUUUUAAUAGCUAUCUCUUCUACAGUUAGAAUUGCAUAAUCUUCAUUAUUACUUUUAGAAAACUCAAUUGUUCUUGGUAGACACAUUGUUAACUUAAGGCUUGC
This 19660-nucleotide long non-coding RNA is filed under the name Homo sapiens (human). Its description in RNAcentral is "non-protein coding lnc-ANKRD27-2:11". The record is from RNAcentral. Lineage: Eukaryota; Metazoa; Chordata; Mammalia; Primates; Hominidae.